CGCGUGGUUCUAUUUUGUUGGUUUUUAGAACCGCCGUAAUGAUUAAUAGGGACAGUCGGGGGCAUCUGUAUUCAAUUGUCAGAGGUGAAAUUCUUGGAUCUAUUGAAGACAAACUACUGCGAAAGCAUUUGCCAAGGAUGUUUUCAUUGAUAAGGAACGAAAGUUAGGGGAUCGAAGACGAUCAGAUACCGUCGUAGUCUUAACUAUAAACUAUGCCGACUAGGGAUCGGACGAUGUUAUUUUUUGACUCGUUCGGCACCUUUCGAGAAAUCAAAGUGCUUGGGCUCCAGGGGGAGUAUGGUCGCAAGGCUGAAACUUAAAGAAAUUGACGGAAGGGCACCACCAGGGGUGGAACCUGCGGCUUAAUUUGACUCAACACGGGGAAACUCACCAGGUCCAGACACAGUGAGGAUUGACAGAUUGAUAGCUCUUUCUUGAUUCUGUGGGUGGUGGUGCAUGGCCGUUCUUAGUUGGUGGAGUGAUUUGUCUGCUUAAUUGCGAUAACGAACGAGACCUUAACCUGCUAAUAGCCGUCUGCUCGGCAGUACGCUGGCUUCUUAGAGGACUAUCGGCUCAGCGAUGGAGUUGAGCAUACAGUCUGUGAUGCCAUAGAUGUCUGGCGCACGCGCGUACACUGACAGCAGCGAGUAUUCUAGCAGAGCUGGUAUCUGUACUGUCGUGCUGGAUGAGCAUGCAUAGCGAUCGUCACUG
Molecule: ribosomal RNA, 711 nt
Filed under: uncultured fungus
Lineage: Eukaryota; Fungi
Description: SSU rRNA
Rfam family: Eukaryotic small subunit ribosomal RNA
Source: RNAcentral